CUCUCUCGCGAUUCUGGUUAUUGUUUUUGUUGCCUUUUCUGAUUAAUGGAAAAACAUCAGUGACCAUAUCUUCAGGUCAGAAUAUAUGAUGCAUAAUCAUGGUCUCAAGAAUUAGGGUUCCAUUUGCUAAUUCGUGUUCCUCUACCUCGCAUUUACUCCUCAAGGACUUGCUUGAAGUGAUGCUGUCUAUGGAUUCAGUUAUCUGCACAUUAUACUGGGAGAUUCCAGUGAAGUUGGUAUCCAAGCCCGUAUUAAGACGCAGAUUAGCUCCAACGCAUUCAUAUUUCUCAACCAUAGUUGAAUUCAAGAUCCGAAAAUGAGGUCCCAUGGGAUCAAUCUUAUAUUGUCUUCCUUAUCAAACAGGCCAUUAAGGUCUCAGACUUCACUGCGUCACAUUGAACAUCUUGUCUUGUUGGUGUGUGAUUCCCUUAUGCAAACAAAAAGGGGCAAAGUGGAUAACAAAAACGAAAUAGAGAAGCUCCUCUUUCCUAGCAUUUACCAGUGUUCUAAAAGACGGCCUAGGUGGUACCCCGCCGCUGCGCCUAGGGUCCUAGGCGGUUGUCUAGGCGCCGGCCCGAUUAAUCAAUCGCUAGGCGCUAGGCGGAUUAGGCGGGGCUAGGAGGAGCAAGGCAGACGAUUAGGCGGCUCGGCGGUGUAAUUUUUUAAAAUUAAGGACUAGGUGCUAGGUGGGCUAGGCGGACAAUUAGGCAUCUCGGAGGUGUAAUUUUUUAUUGGAGUGCCAUAUUUAAUGUUUUGUUUUACUUAUGUUGUUAUAUUUCCUCUCAAAACUUAGGGAGGGGGUAGGAGAAUAUUUUUAAAAAAAUAAAAAUAGAAAAUCCGCCUAAUGUCUAGGUGCCGAUUAAUCGGCCUAGGCGCUAGGCAGUGCCCGGCCACCCGACUGCCACCUAGCAACUUUUAGAACACUGGCAUUUACAGCCCUUUGGAUUGUGAGAAAGGGUGUGAUAAGAAAGGGCCAAGGAGAGCCAUUAAAUGGUGAGAUUUGGUGAGAAAAAGGAAAGAGUCAAUCAGCAUCCGUCCCAUAGUGCUGGUCAUGUAUUUCAUUUUGGGAUUGGGAUGUCCCAAAAUGUUUGUCCUCCUUAAAAAGUCAAACCAAUAAGUGUGUAAAUUGUACACAAACCAUCCCUCAUUAAUUAUUAAAGAUAGUUUUCGAUGAAUGAAUGGAAUAAGGGGUAAUAAUGGAAAUCUGAUCAAACUUUCUAGGGAGACGUGCAUUAAUUGCAUGUCCCCUUAAAAAGUUGGAUUCCCCAUACAUGACAAACAAUAUGGGACGGAGGGAGUAGUAUUUUUGUACUUCUCUCUUCAUUUCUCACCCAAUCACUCAAUUGGAUUGAGUGAUUUGGUGCAUAUCUUUUCUUUUCUCACCAAAUCACUCAAUCCAAAGGGGCUAAUUUGAUCACUUAGCUCCUAAUUGUGCAAAAUCUUAAACCAAGUUCAAACCACCUUCUACCACGUGCCAUGAGAAGUUCCUACUGGUCUUUAUUCACUAACUGUAGCAACACUUUCUGGCCACCUAAAUGAGUAAUCAUUAUUGUAGAUUCACAUCCCCUCCUCACGGCUGGUACUUAUACUCCCUCACUAUCCCUUUUGCUCAUUUGCUAUUCCAAGCUUCAUGAACGUUGACACCUCCAAUCACUUCACAUUUACAGGAUUUACUAGUAGUAGUACUUUGUCUCUUCCAUUCUCCCUGCAAGCACUUUGACGUAUGCCCACUCAUCUAAUUGCUUAAAGUUUGGUUUAAUAAGUUUUUCCCCUUUUCUUCUUAGCCCUUUCCUCCAUUACUAUUGUUCCAUUUGCAUAUUUUUGGUUCCUUCAAAACUAUCCAAUCAGGAAAGCUCUUUUACAUAUUUGUCAUUUCGCUUCUACCCAACUUUGAGACCACUCCUCUUUAACGAUGCUUGGAGUAUUUUUACACUUCCGCUUGGGGCGCUGAGCUGAUAAGUGAGUCAUGACUAGGGCCGCAAACGAGUGAGUCGAGCUUCACAAUGUUUAGGCUCUGCUCUGUGAAAAUUGGGUCAGCUUGAGCCGAGCUGAAAAUAUUAAGAUCGAGCUCGGCUCGGGAGAGCUCGGUAUCGCGUGGCCCUUGAGGCAGGAGGGAGAGAACGGUUUGGCUCUCUUCUUAUCUAACAUUCCUUGUGCUCAUUUUCCUCAAGUGGGUUAUGUGGGUGGGAUUGAAGAAAAGAGUUUUCCUUUGCGCAAUUUCGUUGUUCCACAUCGAAAGAGGAUGGGUUGGUAGGCAAAACGCUUACCUAAAAAAACUUGUAUGCCACCAGGUCAUCCAUCCCCAUGUGAGCUGUUCACAUGGAGCUGCCACUUGGCAGAUUUUUCAUUUUUCAUGCAAUUAUUUUAUUGCAAAUAUUAAAAUACAAAUAUAAAUAGUAAGUAUACAGCCUAGCUCGCGAGCUCAUUCGAGCUGAGCUUUUGGAAACUAGGGCUAGGCUCGUUUAUUAGACAAGUUCAAUAAUUUGGUUCGAGCUCGUUCAUUUUCCCUAAGCUAAGCUUAAAUGAGCCAAAAUCGAGCCGAGCUCCGCGCUGCGUGAGCAACUCAGUUCGUUUGCAGCCCUAGUCGUGACCUCUUAUUACUAGGAGUCUAGGACUAGAGAGGCUUGCUAUGAAUGAUGUCCUCGAGCAAACAAGACUACCACUUUGCAGCAUCAUUUUAGAUCAUUGGUCUAAUGUGAAGAUAGGUAGGAUGCUAUGUUACAUGGAUCCCCCAUUUUGGGGAAGUACCACAGAACAUGGGUGUGGGUGCGGAAUUUGCACCUGAUUCGACCAAAUAAAUCCG
Molecule: long non-coding RNA, 2803 nt
Organism: Rhododendron vialii
Lineage: Eukaryota; Viridiplantae; Streptophyta; Magnoliopsida; Ericales; Ericaceae
Exons: 2
Source: RefSeq, a predicted model, not a curated record